AGGACGAACGCUGGCGGCGUGCUUAACACACGCAAGUCGAGCGGUGAUCCUCCUUCGGGAGGUGAUCAGCGGCGAACGGGUGAGUAACACGUGGGCAACCUGCCCCUCACACUGGGAUAACCUCGGGAAACCGGGGCUAAUACCGGAUACGACCUCGAGCGGCAUCUCUUGAGGUGGAAAGCUCCGACGGUGAGGGAUGGGCCCGCGGCCUAUCAGCUUGUUGGUGGGGUAAUGGCCUACCAAGGCGACGACGGGUAGCCGGCCUGAGAGGGCGACCGGGCCACGACUGGGACUGAGACACGGCCCAGACUCCUACGGGAGGCAGCAGUGGGGAAUAUUGCGCAAUGGGCGAAAGCCUGACGCAGCGACGCCGCGUGAGGGAUGAAGGCCUUCGGGUUGUAAACCUCUUUCAGCAGGGACGAAGCGAAAGUGACGGUACCUGCAGAAGAAGCACCGGCUAACUACGUGCCAGCAGCCGC
RNAcentral lists this ribosomal RNA (479 nucleotides) under uncultured bacterium. RNAcentral describes it as "SSU rRNA". It matches the Rfam family "Bacterial small subunit ribosomal RNA", at positions 26 to 518 of the family's 1533-position model. The record is from RNAcentral.